This 839-nucleotide ribosomal RNA is filed under the name Salmonella enterica. RNAcentral describes it as "partial 23S ribosomal RNA". It matches the Rfam family "Bacterial large subunit ribosomal RNA", at positions 2104 to 2925 of the family's 2925-position model. The record is from RNAcentral. Lineage: Bacteria; Pseudomonadati; Pseudomonadota; Gammaproteobacteria; Enterobacterales; Enterobacteriaceae.
CUAUAGCUUGACACUGAACAUUGAGCCUUGAUGUGUAGGAUAGGUGGGAGGCUUUGAAGCGUGGACGCCAGUCUGCGUGGAGCCGACCUUGAAAUACCACCCUUUAAUGUUUGAUGUUCUAACGUGGACCCGUAAUCCGGGUUGCGGACAGUGUCUGGUGGGUAGUUUGACUGGGGCGGUCUCCUCCUAAAGAGUAACGGAGGAGCACGAAGGUUGGCUAAUCCUGGUCGGACAUCAGGAGGUUAGUGCAAUGGCAUAAGCCAGCUUGACUGCGAGCGUGACGGCGCGAGCAGGUGCGAAAGCAGGUCAUAGUGAUCCGGUGGUUCUGAAUGGAAGGGCCAUCGCUCAACGGAUAAAAGGUACUCCGGGGAUAACAGGCUGAUACCGCCCAAGAGUUCAUAUCGACGGCGGUGUUUGGCACCUCGAUGUCGGCUCAUCACAUCCUGGGGCUGAAGUAGGUCCCAAGGGUAUGGCUGUUCGCCAUUUAAAGUGGUACGCGAGCUGGGUUUAGAACGUCGUGAGACAGUUCGGUCCCUAUCUGCCGUGGGCGCUGGAGAACUGAGGGGGGCUGCUCCUAGUACGAGAGGACCGGAGUGGACGCAUCACUGGUGUUCGGGUUGUCAUGCCAAUGGCACUGCCCGGUAGCUAAAUGCGGAAGAGAUAAGUGCUGAAAGCAUCUAAGCACGAAACUUGCCCCGAGAUGAGUUCUCCCUGAGACUUUAGGUCUCCUGAAGGAACGUUGAAGACGACGACGUUGAUAGGCCGGGUGUGUAAGCGCAGCGAUGCGUUGAGCUAACCGGUACUAAUGAACCGUGAGGCUUAACCUUACAACGCCGAAG